UGGGGUGUAGCUUGGUGGUGGAGUGCAUGCUUAGCAUGCAUAAUGCCCUGGGUUCCAUUCCCAGCACCAUUA
Molecule: transfer RNA, 72 nt
Filed under: Heterocephalus glaber (naked mole-rat)
Lineage: Eukaryota; Metazoa; Chordata; Mammalia; Rodentia; Bathyergidae
Rfam family: tRNA
About the family: Transfer RNA (tRNA) molecules are approximately 80 nucleotides in length. Their secondary structure includes four short double-helical elements and three loops (D, anti-codon, and T loops).
Source: Rfam by way of RNAcentral